UUUGGGGUCUGGGGGUGGGGGGUUCAGGUGGAGCGGAGGUGCCCCCGCUGCGGGCACGAGGGGAUGUCCUACCACACCCGGCAGAUGCGCUCGGCCGACGAGGGCCAGAGCGUCUUCUACACCUGCCCCCGCUGCAGGUUGCAGGAGAAGGAGGAUUCCUAAAAGAAAUCCUAAAA
Long non-coding RNA from Neopelma chrysocephalum (saffron-crested tyrant-manakin), 176 nucleotides. RefSeq lists it as uncharacterized. The record is from RefSeq and is a predicted model, not a curated record. The transcript has 2 exons. Lineage: Eukaryota; Metazoa; Chordata; Aves; Passeriformes; Pipridae.